CACCAGACUCCUACGGGAGGCAGCAGUGAGGAAUAUUGGUCAAUGGUCGGGAGACUGAACCAGCCAAGCCGCGUGAGGGAGGAAGGUACAGAGUAUCGUAAACCUCUUUUGUCAGGGAACAAAGGCGGGGACGUGUCCCCGGAUGAGUGUACCUGAAGAAAAAGCAUCGGCUAACUCCGUGCCAGCAGCCGCGGUAAUACGGAGGAUGCGAGCGUUAUCCGGAUUUAUUGGGUUUAAAGGGUGCGCAGGCGGUCUGUUAAGACAGGGGACAACGCCGGGGCCCCACCCCCGCCCCGCCGUUGAAACUGGCAGUCUCGAGUUGGAGAGAAGUAUGCGGAAUGCGCGGUGUAGCGGUGAAAUGCAUAGAUAUCGCGCAGAACUCCGAUUGCGAAGGCAGCAUGCCGGCUCCACACUGACGCUGAGGCACGAAAGCGUGGGUAUCGAACAGGAUUAGAUACCCCUGUA
RNAcentral lists this ribosomal RNA (465 nucleotides) under uncultured bacterium. RNAcentral's name for it is "bacterial SSU rRNA". It matches the Rfam family "Bacterial small subunit ribosomal RNA", at positions 329 to 792 of the family's 1533-position model. The record is from RNAcentral.